GUUUCAUCAUCAUCAAAGGUUAAAAAUCAUUUGUGAAUAAUGAUUCUUGUUUAUAUACAUGCUUUUCGGGGAGCGAGAUCAAGCUGUCAGUUCAGUUUUGUUUGAUAAAUCAUUUGCCUCUCUUAAAAGUGGGAAUUGAGCUGGCUGUCGCAUAAAAGAGUCGAGGCGUCUUCGAGGAUUGAUAAAUGCUCAAUUUCUCAAGUCCUUUGGCCAGUAGGCAACUCUUUAUUCUUCUGUAAUUUUACUUCGUGUUUUAAGAUAAAAAGGUAGGUAAAUCUGUACCACACCGAUUGCGGUUAAUUUUUUUUUCAUUUCAAUCUUAGAAUUUUGAAAUUCAUUUUAAAUUUCAUAUUAGCUAGUAAAUAUAUUAGGUGGUUAAAAUGGAGUGAGC
Molecule: unclassified non-coding RNA, 391 nt
Filed under: Hevea brasiliensis (rubber tree)
Lineage: Eukaryota; Viridiplantae; Streptophyta; Magnoliopsida; Malpighiales; Euphorbiaceae
Source: RNAcentral